AAUGACUAAACUGACAGAGGACUAUUUUUUUCAGUAUUUGGGAGCAAAUAAUACAGGUAAGAAUUACGUAUUAGAUGAGACUUGAGACACUAUGUGAGCUAUGAUAGCUAUGGAAAUGCUCUGGAGUGUGUGAUUUCAUGAUUAUAACAAAAAUUUGAUUGUUUUACUUGCAACUUAAAUAGACCAAUGAUGAAAAGUAUGCAUAAAUGAACAAGCAUAGGGCUGGACUUGAUCUGUGCUGUAGUUUGCUGACCCCCUAAUUGAGAACAUUUAUCAUACUUAUCGCUAAAUUCAGGCUGUCUUCUUAGCACAAUCUGCCAACAACUGGAGCCUACGAACAGUUUACCCUACUUGUGGGUUCACACUCUUUAAGGAACAGGAAUAUAAAGCCCCUGAGGCAUUGGUGUGCAGUGAGGGCCCCGCUCCCCAGUGCAGUCCAUACUCUGCGGA
RNAcentral lists this long non-coding RNA (450 nucleotides) under Bos taurus (domestic cattle). Its description in RNAcentral is "long non-coding RNA NONBTAT019586". The record is from RNAcentral. Lineage: Eukaryota; Metazoa; Chordata; Mammalia; Artiodactyla; Bovidae.